AACAUCGCGCACCUGCGGGAACCUGCGGAGGGAUCAUUACAGAGUUGCAAAACUCCCUAAACCAUUGUGAACGUUACCUAAACCGUUGCUUCGGCGGGCGGCCCGGGUCCUUCCCGGCGCCCCUCGGCCCUCGCGGGCGCCCGCCGGAGGUAAACCAAACUAUUGCAUUGUAUGGCCUCUCUGAGUCCUCUGUACUGAAUAAGUCAAAACUUUUAACAACGGAUCUCAGAUCGGAAGAGC
Molecule: unclassified non-coding RNA, 240 nt
Filed under: soil metagenome
Description: partial contains 5.8S ribosomal RNA, internal transcribed spacer 2, and large subunit ribosomal RNA
Source: RNAcentral